This 253-nucleotide ribosomal RNA is filed under the name uncultured bacterium. RNAcentral describes it as "partial 16S ribosomal RNA". It matches the Rfam family "Bacterial small subunit ribosomal RNA", at positions 524 to 776 of the family's 1533-position model. The record is from RNAcentral.
UACGUAGGGUGCAAGCGUUGUCCGGAAUUAUUGGGCGUAAAGGGCGCGUAGGCGAUUUGGCAAGUCUUGUGUGAAAGCCCACAGCCUAACUGUGGAAGUGCACAAGAUACUGCUGAAUUUGAGUUCAGGAGAGGAAGGCAGAAUUCCCGGUGUAGCGGUGAAAUGCGUAGAUAUCGGGAGGAAUACCAGUGGCGAAGGCGGCCUUCUGGACUGACACUGACGCUGAGGCGCGAAAGCUAGGGGAGCAAACGGG